GAUGAACGCUAGCGGCAGGCCUAACACAUGCAAGUCGAGGGGCAGCGGGAUUGAAGCUUGCUUCAAUCGCCGGCGACCGGCGCACGGGUGCGUAACGCGUAUGCAACCUACCCAGAACAGGGGGAUAACACUGAGAAAUUGGUACUAAUAUCCCAUAACAUCAUAAGGGGCAUCCCUUUUGGUUGAAAACUCCGGUGGUUCUGGAUGGGCAUGCGUUGUAUUAGCUGGUUGGUGAGGUAACGGCUCACCAAGGCAACGAUACAUAGGGGGAC
This 272-nucleotide ribosomal RNA is filed under the name uncultured bacterium. RNAcentral describes it as "partial 16S ribosomal RNA". It matches the Rfam family "Bacterial small subunit ribosomal RNA", at positions 28 to 292 of the family's 1533-position model. The record is from RNAcentral.